CUCUGGACGCCAUAUUUGUUAGAGCGUGUACGAGAUCCCUACGAGGUGGAUCGAGAUGGCGAAGUCCAAGAACCACACCAACCAUAACCAGAACAAGAAGGCCCACAGAAAUGGUAUCAAGAAACCACGCCGCAACCGCUACGAGUCUCUGAAGGGGGUUGAACCUAAG
Molecule: long non-coding RNA, 169 nt
Organism: Branchiostoma floridae (Florida lancelet)
Lineage: Eukaryota; Metazoa; Chordata; Leptocardii; Amphioxiformes; Branchiostomatidae
Exons: 4
Source: RefSeq, a predicted model, not a curated record